This 23-nucleotide non-coding RNA is filed under the name Arabidopsis thaliana (thale cress). The record is from RNAcentral. Lineage: Eukaryota; Viridiplantae; Streptophyta; Magnoliopsida; Brassicales; Brassicaceae.
AGCCCACCAGAAAUCAGAACGCA